UGUGAAACCCUUAAAUUUAUUUUAAAUUUAUGUAAGAUUUGUGGAGUAUACUACAAAUUUCGGACAUCUCAACUUAUCAAACCAGUAUGACUAAUAUACCACAAUGUUUAACCCACAAAUCAUUCAUGCCUAGAAAACGUUUAGCCCAAAAAAGGUUAGAAUUACUUUCAAGACCACUAACAAUAUUAUCAUCAUCAUUGUUCUCAGGUAAGACCCAUUCCUUUUUACUCCAAACACGAGAACCAUAAGGCCAAGUAGUUUUAUCGACACGUGAAUCGAAGAGGUUACAAUCAAGGUUGUCAGAACCGGACUGGACCGGCUGAUCGGACCGUGAACCGGUCAUGAAACCGGCUUGAUUAUGAUAAAAAACUGGAUAGAAAACCAACCGGAAAAAAACAUGUGUGAAAUCUGGCACGCAGUGAACACAAUGCUGCACAAGAUGCUAUAACAUAUGUUGCAGCAAGACAGGCGCCGUAACAACCCAAGCCAUGACUCAAUAAAGUAGUAAGAUUAAAUGGGUUAUUGCAUAAAAUGAGGUGAUGCAAUAUAUGGAUUAAGUGAGAUAUGGAAGGUUAGUAAAUAUGAGAAACUUGGAAAUGGUAUCCUUGCAAUUAAGUGCACAUGUGAUCCUUAUAAAUAUGACUAUUAGUAGUGAAAGAGACUAAAAAGUAAGACCUCUUCCUUUCUCUUCCUGGCCUGACACUCCUUCUCUCUCUACCUCCAUGAGAGCUCAAAUUUUACUUUUUCAAAAUUCUUAUGAAUCAAGAGCUGCAUGUUACUCCAUAAGCUUCAGUGUACCCUUUUAACUCAAAAGAAUGAAUUUAUCCUUCAACCUCCUCCUCCAUCUUCAUUGUUAGAAAAACCCUUAUUCUCUAGAAAACACCAAUUCAUCCAAUUGCAUGUACAAAUCCUGGAGCAAAUCACCAAUCUGAAAGCAUCUUACAGGAAGGAAUUUGUGAAGAAAAGGUCAUGGGUGUUUGAGUAGAAGGUGAGAAAUCAAAGAUUAAAGGACUUGAAGUUGGUGGCAGCAGAAGCUGCAUUGUGGUUGUUGUUGCAGAGCAGUCUUGCUGCUGCAUGUUGUUGAUUCUCUCACUAUCAACCCCACUCUUGGUCAAAGAGACUUGAUUAAAUGUUUGGAGCUUGGCUUUGAAGGAAAAGUGGAAGUUGUGAAGGUAAGGAAAAUAUUCUGCAUAAUUUUCGUAUGGACAUACUCUCAGUAAUUGGGUGAUACCUUUCAAACCGUAACUCUGUUUCGAAUGGUGUUUACAUGUAUGGAAAGCUGACGAAAUUCUCGUCGUCUAGAUGCCAAUUUCGUAGAAUUUCGAUGAAUAUUGAGGUCUGGAGACCAGUUUGAAGUUAAAGGUCUGAUAUGGAGAUUAUGCAGAAAAAUUAGGAUGCGGGUUUAAAGUACUUUGGCUGGAAAUGUCGGUGGUAUUCUUCAAGCGUCAACUCAGAUAAGCAGGUUGAUCGAGAUAUCUUGGUUUGCUAACAUGAAGAUUCAAAUACGCGGAUUACGUUAGGGAGCUGACAUCAUGUUAAUCUUAUUAUUAUAUAAGAUUCAGUUUAUUUGAGUUCAGUAGUUAGCUUAAUCAUGUAUUUAUUUAGUGGAUUAUUGUAAUCCUAUUCAUGUAUUUGAUCUUUAUGUAAUGAUGAUUAAUGUUUCCCGAUUCAGUUAUGUUCACUCUUGUCGAUAUUCUAGAUAAAUUGACAUGGGGUGU
This is a long non-coding RNA of Trifolium pratense (red clover), 1718 nucleotides long. RefSeq lists it as uncharacterized. The transcript is spliced from 4 exons. Lineage: Eukaryota; Viridiplantae; Streptophyta; Magnoliopsida; Fabales; Fabaceae. The record is from RefSeq and is a predicted model, not a curated record.